ACAGCAGUAGCCACGGGAAUACGUAGGUGGCAAGCGUUGUCCGGAAUUAUUGGGCGUAAAGGGCUCGCAGGCGGUUUCUUAAGUCUGAUGUGAAAGCCCCCGGCUCAACCGGGGAGGGUCAUUGGAAACUGGGAAACUUGAGUGCAGAAGAGGAGAGUGGAAUUCCACGUGUAGCGGUGAAAUGCGUAGAGAUGUGGAGGAACACCAGUGGCGAAGGCGACUCUCUGGUCUGUAACUGACGCUGAGGAGCGAAAGCGUGGGGAGCGAACAGGAUUAGAUACCCCCGUAGUCCCUGUCUCUUAUAC
RNAcentral lists this ribosomal RNA (305 nucleotides) under uncultured bacterium. Its description in RNAcentral is "partial 16S ribosomal RNA". It matches the Rfam family "Bacterial small subunit ribosomal RNA", at positions 505 to 807 of the family's 1533-position model. The record is from RNAcentral.